GAUGAACGCUGGCUACAGGCUUAACACAUGCAAGUCGAGGGGAAACGACGGGGAAGCUUGCUUCCCCGGGCGUCGACCGGCGCACGGGUGAGUAACGCGUAUCCAACCUGCCUCUGACUGAGGGAUAACCCGUCGAAAGUCGGCCUAAUACCUCAUGGCAUCGUCUGCGGGCAUCCAACGACGAUUAAAGAUUUCAUCGGUCAGAGAUGGGGAUGCGUCUGAUUAGCUUGUUGGCGGGGUAACGGCCCACCAAGGCGACGAUCAGUAGGGGUUCUGAGAGGAAGGUCCCCCACAUUGGGACUGAGACACGGUCCAAACUCCUACGGGAGGCAGCAGUGAGGAAUAUUGGUCAAUGGGCGAGAGCCUGAACCAGCCAAGUAGCGUGCAGGAUGACGGCCCUAUGGGUUGUAAACUGCUUUUAUGCGGGGAUAAAGUGAGGGACGUGUCCUUCAUUGCAGGUACCGCAUGAAUAAGGACCGGCUAAUUCCGUG
This 491-nucleotide ribosomal RNA is filed under the name uncultured bacterium. RNAcentral's name for it is "partial 16S ribosomal RNA". It matches the Rfam family "Bacterial small subunit ribosomal RNA", at positions 28 to 507 of the family's 1533-position model. The record is from RNAcentral.